RNAcentral lists this ribosomal RNA (301 nucleotides) under uncultured bacterium. RNAcentral describes it as "partial 16S ribosomal RNA". It matches the Rfam family "Bacterial small subunit ribosomal RNA", at positions 509 to 807 of the family's 1533-position model. The record is from RNAcentral.
CAGUAGCCGCGGUAAUACGUAGGUGGCAAGCGUUGUCCGGAAUUAUUGGGCGUAAAGGGCUCGCAGGCGGUUUCUUAAGUCUGAUGUGAAAGCCCCCGGCCCAACCGGGGAGGGUCAUUGGAAACUGGGAAACUUGAGUGCAGAAGAGGAGAGUGGAAUUCCACGUGUAGCGGUGAAAUGCGUAGAGAUGUGGAGGAACACCAGUGGCGAAGGCGACUCUCUGGUCUGUAACUGACGCUGAGGAGCGAAAGCGUGGGGAGCAAACAGGAUUAGAUACCCGCGUAGUCCCUGUCUCUUAUAC